Daphnia magna is the source of this 1048-nucleotide long non-coding RNA. RefSeq lists it as uncharacterized. The record is from RefSeq and is a predicted model, not a curated record. Lineage: Eukaryota; Metazoa; Arthropoda; Branchiopoda; Diplostraca; Daphniidae. The transcript has 3 exons.
UUUGAAUAGUAGACUGUAAUUAAAAUGCAGAAUAUAAACGUAGGCUAUUUAUCUUACCAAGGAAAUGUUAUCAGAAAACUGUCGCAAAAUAAAAUUCCAGCCCCAGCAGGCCUUACAUCAUUAGUAUCUCACUGAGAAUCGGGUCUGUUUGUUACGCGUUCAGUAAGUUGCCUUUCCUGAUUUCCAACCAUCGACAAUUUAAAAAAACAAACCACUUAUUGAAAAUACAGCAUAACAUUUACACCAUGCGUCAUACGAGCCUCUUCGUGCUCGGUUUGCUGAUAAGCUUUCCAUUGUUGGCGGAAUCGGGAUUAGUUGCUUACGGUGUAUGUCAAACGGGCUGUAACGCUCUGGCAGUUGCAUGUUACGCGGCCGCAGGAUUUACUUUCGGGGUGUCAACGUUUGGUGCAGGCAUACCUGCAGCUAUCGUCGGCUGCAAUGGGGCGUUGGGGAUUUGCAUGGCAGCAUGUGCUGCUACUAUAUUUGCGCCUACGCCAUGACACUACACCCCAUAGGCUCGUGACAUUUUAAAACCUUUAAAAUUUGUUAGAAUAUUUUGUAGUUAAUUUGUGUAUGCACAGUGAAAUUGAAAAUAUAUUAUAGCUUUCGUGGGUAGGCUAAUAAAAUUAUUAUACCUUCAGUCUUACUGGAUGUCUACGAGUCUUUAUCGUGUGAUGUCGUAUAGUAUCUUAUCAUUGGUUAGAAAAUGUCACAGACAACACACUCAAAUCCUAGAACAAUAACAGAUGGCAGUGUGAAUCCGUUUUAUUCAAAAACUCCACAACUAACAGAUUGAGUUUCAUCGAAUUCCAAGUCCAAAAUGGUAAGCCUGAAGUCGGGCCCAAAAAUAAGCCCGACAAAAAUACCACAGACUGCCAUCUGUCGACAAAUGCAUUUUCUGCGUGGAGUGAAACAACACAGAACACACCCGCAAGAGGCGCUCCCACCGGACGGAAAAUCACUCUUCCGCCCCGACCACCCCGACCCAAAACCCCCGUUUUUUGUUUGUAAUUUAUUUAUUUAUGCUAUUACACUAUUUAUACCUUUA